Molecule: non-coding RNA, 350 nt
Organism: Thermosinus carboxydivorans Nor1
Lineage: Bacteria; Bacillati; Bacillota; Negativicutes; Selenomonadales; Sporomusaceae
Rfam family: transfer-messenger RNA
About the family: Bacterial tmRNA, also known as 10Sa RNA or SsrA, is named for its dual tRNA and mRNA-like properties. Its role is to liberate the mRNA from a stalled ribosome. To accomplish this part of the tmRNA is used as a reading frame that ends in a translation stop signal.
Source: Rfam
GGGGGCGUACUGGUUUCGACAGGGGUAGUUGUGGCAUGGGUAGCGAGCCGGGGUUCCAUCAGCCCGAUAAUACGGUGGACCUAAAGUAAACGCAAACGAAGAAUACGCUUUAGCAGCUUAGUCUGCUAACGUCCUGUCUACGCUUGCCCGCGGCGUAGGCUAGGGCGUCAAUUAGCGGGAUACCUGAGGUCCAAUUCUCGGAGGACCGACUGGGAAACUUCAUCGAGAUAGCGCCGGCGAAGCCUGUCUGUAGGCGUCAAAGGGGCGAAACUUAAAAUACAGACUGCGCUCGGAGAAGCCUGUGUAGCAAUGGCCUUUGGACAGGGGUUCGACUCCCCUCGCCUCCACCA